UACGGAAGGCAGCAGUGGGGAAGUAUUGCACAAUGGGCGCAAGCCUGAUGCAGCCAUGCCGCGUGUAUGAAGAAGGCCUUCGGGUUGUAAAGUACUUUCAGUCGUGAGGAAGGUGUUAAGGUUAAUAACCUUAGCAAUUGACGUUAGCGACAGAAGAAGCACCGGCUAACUCCGUGCCAGCAGCCGCGGUAACACGGAGGGUGCGAGCGUUAAUCGGAAUUACUGGGCGUAAAGGGCACGCAGGCGGUUAAUUAAGUUGGAUGUGAAAUCCCCGGGCUUAACCUGGGAAUGGCAUUCAAGACUGGUUAGCUAGAGUCUUGUAGAGGGGGUAGAAUUCCAUGUGUAGCGGUGAAAUGCGUAGAGAUGUGGAGGAAUACCGGUGGGCGAAGGCGGCCCCCUGGGACAAAGACUGACGCUCAUGUGCGAAAGCGUGGGGAGCAAACAGGGAUUAGAUACC
RNAcentral lists this ribosomal RNA (457 nucleotides) under uncultured bacterium. RNAcentral's name for it is "bacterial SSU rRNA". It matches the Rfam family "Bacterial small subunit ribosomal RNA", at positions 340 to 786 of the family's 1533-position model. The record is from RNAcentral.